GUGUCGUCUGAACCGAAUAAUAUAAAAGCAUGUGUGAGUCUGUAUUUGUGUGCUCUGGCUUCGGCACGCAACAAUAACCAAUUCCUUGAAAUGUGGUCUCAGAAUCAAGUUCUGCUGUGAAUAGUCUUCAAGGUAUAGUAGGUUUAUUCACCGCAGCCAAUGGGCUUUCGUAACCGUCUGCAGAUCCCGGCAGACAAAAGCCUUCUCAUAAUAGACAGCUGAUGACAGAAAACUGGAGGACGGAACGUUUUUUAUUGACUCGUUCUGAUUACAGUGGCCGGGCAGAGGCCAAGGCAGCACACAACAACGGAGGCAGACAGACAGCACGUACAAGGUUAUGGAGUAAGCUUUUCAAAAGGCUCUGAAUCAACAACUCCAUAUUGGGAACAGUUGACCUCAUGAAGAAGGUCAAGCUGUGUGUAUGGAGACCGAGACUCUACUUAACACAUCAGCUUGAGAUGACAAUGUGCUUCAACGCUACAAGAUAAUUGCCCCAGUAAGCUGGGACUCUAUGACUGAAAGACUGGCACAAGGCUACAGGACGUCAGUACUUAUCUGUGGGAGUCGACUCGCCUCGGCCCAGCAAGACCAGGGGGACAAAGAACUGUGUAACAGAGCAUGGGAGUGUGUGUGUAGGGGGGGUAUAUAUGUAUUUAUGUGGUUGCGUGUGGGGAAGGCGACAUGUUUAUAUUGUGUGUGAUGUCUUGCUAUAUAACACAGGAAAAAAAAACUCAACCCGCUCCUUCCCUCCAAGAAGUCUCAAUCUGUCUUUUUAAGGAGCAGGCUGGCAGGCAGGCAGGCAGGCAGGCAGGCGCGCGCACACACACACACACCAGCCCACUGUCUGUCUUCAUACUGCAAUCAGCGUCCCCACAGGAAGCAUCUAGCCUCAUGCCCCCGGACUGGGGUCAGAGAGCAACUAUCACACCAUUCUCAACUGGCCUCUUUCUAUCUCUCUUUCCCUUCCUUCAUCUCUCUCUCUACCUCCCUUUGUGUAUAAAUCUGACUCUCUGUGUCUCUGUCACUCGCUCGGACUCCACUUAACCAGAGCACAGAGUUUGAGUGAGUUCAGCGAACACAGACAUCACUAUUUCAAAAUCCUCUAGUGGUACAUUGCAGUCCUGAACUAGUCCUGUCUAGUCCCCAUUGACUAUUUUGAUUUUGUAAAGAGUUCAUCAGCAAGGCAAACUGUUUACACUCUGUCGAACACUAACUAUGCAGCAUUUUCAUGUCUCGAAAACACUCAGUUGUUUUUUGGAUAUACAUACUACAUUUUGCCAUUUAGUUUUCCAAACAGAGUCCUUUAGAAGAGACUGCCUUUAAGUGUUUUCAACAGUCAGUUGUCAAAACAAGAACAGGCUGUUUUUAACACUGUUAUAUGCAAAUCUGCUCUAGGAUCAGUUCCAGACGAUAAUAAAACAUGAUUAAACACGGAGUGUUGGGAUUUAUCGCUAAUGAUUUAUGCUUUACAGCACAGUGAUGAUGAUAU
This 1489-nucleotide long non-coding RNA is filed under the name Salmo salar (Atlantic salmon). Its description in RNAcentral is "lncRNA (ENSSSAG00000119265.1)". Lineage: Eukaryota; Metazoa; Chordata; Actinopteri; Salmoniformes; Salmonidae. The record is from RNAcentral.